GGCCUGUUAGGUCGGGUCGGAUUGAAAAUCCGCGUGUCGACGGUUCGAUUCCGCCCCUGGCCACCA
Molecule: transfer RNA, 66 nt
Filed under: Gammaproteobacteria bacterium HGW-Gammaproteobacteria-1
Lineage: Bacteria; Pseudomonadati; Pseudomonadota; Gammaproteobacteria
Description: tRNA-Ser
Source: RNAcentral